GUGGGUGUAGCUCAGGGGUAGAGCACAUGCUUAGCAUGCAUGAGGUCCUGGGUCGAUCCCCGGUCCCUCCA
This 71-nucleotide transfer RNA is filed under the name Camelus bactrianus (Bactrian camel). It matches the Rfam family "tRNA". Rfam says of the family: Transfer RNA (tRNA) molecules are approximately 80 nucleotides in length. Their secondary structure includes four short double-helical elements and three loops (D, anti-codon, and T loops). RNAcentral also lists the same sequence under 1 other name. Lineage: Eukaryota; Metazoa; Chordata; Mammalia; Artiodactyla; Camelidae. The record is from Rfam by way of RNAcentral.